Molecule: ribosomal RNA, 534 nt
Filed under: Asiodiplosis bimoda
Lineage: Eukaryota; Metazoa; Arthropoda; Insecta; Diptera; Cecidomyiidae
Description: partial large subunit ribosomal RNA
Source: RNAcentral
AGUUUUUUUAAUUAAUAGAAAAUAUGACCUGCCCAUUGAAAAUAAAAUUUUAAAGGCCGCAGUAUAUUGACUGUGCAAAGGUAGCAUAAUCAUUAGAUUUUUAAUUGAGAUCUAGAAUGAAUGGUUAGUUGAAAUAAAAUCUUUUUUAAUUUUAAUAUUUGAAUUUUAUAAAUUAGUAAGAAAUCUAAUUUAAUAAAAAAAGACGAGAAGACCCUAUAGAAUUUUAUAAAUUUAAUUAAUUUAUUAUUAAAAUUUAAUUUAUUAUUUUAAAAUUUAUUUUAUUGGGGAGAUAUUUAAAUUUUUAAAACUUUGAAAUUUAAAUUCAUUUUAUAAAUGUAUUUUUGAUCUUUUUUUAUUGAUUAAAAAAAUAAAUUACCUUAGGGAUAACAGCAUAAUAGUUUUAAUAAGUUCUUAUUAUUAAAAAAGAUUAUGACCUCGAUGUUGAAUUAAAAUUAUUAUUAUAUGAAGGGAUAUAAUAAAUAAGUCUGUUCGACUUUUAAAAUUUUACAUGAUUUGAGUUCAAAUCGGUGUGAG